UGCCAGACUCCUACGGGAGGCAGCAGUGGGGAAUAUUGCACAAUGGGGGAAACCCUGAUGCAGCGACGCCGCGUGAGUGAAGAAGUAAUUCGUUAUGUAAAGCCCUAUCAGCAGGGAAGAAAAUGACGGUACCUGAGUAAGAAGCCCCGGCUAACUACGUGCCAGCAGCCGCGGUAAUACGUAGGGGGCAAGCGUUAUCCGGAUUUACUGGGUGUAAAGGGAGCGUAGACGGCAGCGCAAGUCUGGAGUGAAAUGCCGGGGCUCAACCCCGGAACUGCUUUGGAAACUGUGCAGCUAGAGUGCGGGAGAGGUAAGCGGAAUUCCUAGUGUAGCGGUGAAAUGCGUAGAUAUUAGGAGGAACACCAGUGGCGAAGGCGGCUUGCUGGACCGUAACUGACGUUGAGGCUCGAAAGCGUGGGGAGCAAACAGGAUUAGAUACCCGUGUAU
Molecule: ribosomal RNA, 447 nt
Filed under: uncultured bacterium
Lineage: Bacteria
Description: bacterial SSU rRNA
Rfam family: Bacterial small subunit ribosomal RNA
Source: RNAcentral